Molecule: ribosomal RNA, 408 nt
Filed under: uncultured bacterium
Lineage: Bacteria
Description: partial 16S ribosomal RNA
Rfam family: Bacterial small subunit ribosomal RNA
Source: RNAcentral
GACGAACGCUGGCGGCGUGCUUAACACAUGCAAGUCGAACGAAGUGGCGAACGGGUGAGUAAUACGUGAGUAACCUGCCCUCCUUGAUGGGAUAAGCCUUGGAAACGGGGUCUAAUACCGAAUAAAGGGGGAUGGGCUCGCGGCCUGUCAGCUUGUUGGGGGGGUGAUGGCCUACCAAGGCGGUGACGGGUAGCCGGCCUGGGAGGGUGAACGGGCACCUUGGGUAUGAGGUACGGCCCAGACUGCUACGGGAGGCUGAAGUAGGGGAUAUUGCUCAAUGGGCGUAAGACUGAUGCAGCGACGCCGCGUGGGCGAUGAAGGCUUGCGGGUUGUAAACCUCUUUCGAUAUCGAACGGAUAGGUGGAGACGAAGCGCCGGCUAACUACGUGCCAGCCGCCGCGGUAAUAC